This 468-nucleotide ribosomal RNA is filed under the name uncultured bacterium. Its description in RNAcentral is "partial 16S ribosomal RNA". It matches the Rfam family "Bacterial small subunit ribosomal RNA", at positions 28 to 507 of the family's 1533-position model. The record is from RNAcentral.
GACGAACGCUGGCGGCGUGCUUAACACAUGCAAGUCGAACGGAAAGGCCCUGCUUUUGUGGGGUGCUCGAGUGGCGAACGGGUGAGUAACACGUGAGUAACCUGCCCUUGACUUUGGGAUAACUUCAGGAAACUGGGGCUAAUACCGGAUAGGAGCUCCUGCUGCAUGGUGGGGGUUGGAAAGUUUCGGCGGUUGGGGAUGGUCUCGCGGCUUAUCGGCUUCUUGGUGGGGUAGUGGCUUACCAAGGCUUUGACGGGUAGCCCGCCUGAGAGGGUGACCGGCCACAUUGGGACUGAGAGACGGCCCAGACUCCUACGGGAGGCAGCAGUCGGGAAUAUUGCACAAUGGGCGGAAGCCUGAUGCAGCAACGCCGCGUGCGGGAUGACGGCCUUCGGGUUGUAAACCGCUUUCGCCUGUGACGAAGCGUGAGUGACGGUAAUGGGUAAAGAAGCACCGGCUAACUACGUG